GUGGGGCAGCAGGUUUGUAGCAAUACAGAUGCUGGCGACCGGCAAACGGGUGCGUAACACGUACGCAACUUACCCAUUACUGGUGAAUAGCCCAGGGAAACUUGGAUUAAUACACCAUAAUACAUAGAAAAGGCAUCUUUUUUAUAUUAAAGCUUCGGCGGUAAUGGAUGGGCGUGCGGUUGAUUAGAUAGUUGGCGGGGUAACGGCCCACCAAGUCUACGAUCAAUAGCUGAUGUGAGAGCAUGAUCAGCCACACGGGCACUGAGACACGGGCCCGACUCCUACGGGAGGCAGCAGUAAGGAAUAUUGGGCAAUGGACGAAAGUCUGACCCAGCCAUGCCGCGUGAAGGAUGAAGGUCCUCUGGAUUGUAAACUUCUUUUAUCUGGGGCGAAAACCUCCCUUUCUAGGGGGCUUGACAGUACCAGAAGAAUAAGCACCGGCUAACUCCGUGCCAGCAGCCGCGGUAAUACGGAGGGUGCAAGCGUUAUCCGGAUUCACUGGGGUUUAAAGGGUGCGUAGGCGGGCAGGUAAGUCAGUGGUGAAAUCCCCGAGCUU
RNAcentral lists this ribosomal RNA (556 nucleotides) under uncultured Chitinophagaceae bacterium. RNAcentral's name for it is "bacterial SSU rRNA". It matches the Rfam family "Bacterial small subunit ribosomal RNA", at positions 64 to 610 of the family's 1533-position model. The record is from RNAcentral. Lineage: Bacteria; Pseudomonadati; Bacteroidota; Chitinophagia; Chitinophagales; Chitinophagaceae.